This is a long non-coding RNA of Amphiprion ocellaris (clown anemonefish), 3954 nucleotides long. RefSeq lists it as uncharacterized. The transcript has 4 exons. Lineage: Eukaryota; Metazoa; Chordata; Actinopteri; Pomacentridae. The record is from RefSeq and is a predicted model, not a curated record.
UUGGAGUAAAACACGGUGGAAGCUGAAUUAGUGAGGAUGACUCCUGCUCCUGUCAUCUCUAAGCUCCUCACACAUCUUUACCUGCACAUGAGGAAAAUCACUCCUGUAGAAUGCAGAUGUUCAGAGGGAGAUGAUGCCACAUCUGGUCCAGCUGAUGGAAGGUCUUGAAGUUCUCUGACUGGCCUCGACUGAAGAUGGUCUUCUCACUGGAUUUAAGGUUCAGAUGCUCAGUAACAAACUCCACCAAUGUGCCAACAGGGAAGCUUUAGGUUUAUUAAAUGUUGCUAUGAAGGUUUCGCUGUUUUUCUUUGUGAAUGCAAUGUGCUCCAACUGAAACUUGAAUUAGAACUUAGAAGUAAAUCCUUCCAUCUGAAAGGAUUUAGUUGCAUUAAUAACCUCAUAACAUUCUAAUUUUUAUUCCAGUCUUGGUUGGAAAUAGAAUCUCUGUAUUGAUUCAGGUAAAAACUGAACUUCACAGCAUGUUGAAGCAAAACAACCAGAUGAAAACUGUGAUGGUGUUGGAUUGUCAGACCGUAAUGUUGCAGCUCAAAGCAGCUUUUCUAGCUCAGUUCAUUCUGACAUUCAGCUAUGAAUCAACACAGCAGAUGGUGAUCCAUGCUGUGGAAGUCUCACAUCUCCUGAUUUAAUGGAGCUGCUUUGCACUUUUUACACUGUUUAUUCACCAACACUUUAUUUAAUAAAAGUCCCAUCUAGUUUUUAUGAGGAAUGUGAUGUUUUAAUUUCUCUGUGAAUAACUGCAGUCUAAUGCAACAGCUGGAGUUGUAACAUCUGUCCUGAUAUUGAUCAUGAAGUAUUGAUCAGAAUACUUAUGGUUAGCAGUCAUCCCUGAAGUUUUACAUUAAAAUCUUUACUUGUGUUGUGAACUUUGGUAAGAAGCAGAAACUUUUGCGUUGCCAUGGAUACAUGAGUGUUAAAUUCUGUCCAUGUUUCCAUUUUGGGAAAUUCAGUCCAGUUCCAGAAUGUGGAGGAAUUUAGUCUCACAAUCACAGACAACAAAUAUUAUCUGAAAGUCGGGUUAUUGUUGUUUAUCAGCACAAUACAAAAAGAUUAAUGUUAGAAAUAUUCCAGUUAAGACUCUAGAAUAUCAUGAUUUAUGUAAAUUUACCUCAAUAAUAUGAAUGUUCAGGUUAAGAUUGUGCAGUGAUAUUUAUUAUGCAAGUUUAGCUGAUUAAAGUUUAUGACUCUGCACUAAAAUAUUAUUUAAAUUGACAUCAUUAUUAUAAUAUUUAGGGUCAGACCCUACAGUAUUGAGAUUAAGAAAUCAAAUAUUCUAUAAAAUGUAAAUACACUGAACUCAUUUGGAUAUAUUUAAGUGAGACUCUACAAUAUUAUUUGACACAAAUCUAUCUAAAUCAAAAUUUUAAUAAUUUUCACGCCAAACAUUUACUGGACUGAUUUAAAUAUUAAAAUCACUCCUUUCUAAUCCUCUGCUGUACGUUCAAACCUGAGGCCUUAAAUAGAAACACACAAGUAUCUGUUUGAAGGAACUUCUGCAGAGUCCUGGUUCCAGAACAUGAUGAUAGAAUUAUAGACAAACUUUAACAAAAGCUGCCUGAGAGUUUACAGGUUUUUAUGUUGGAUUUCUUCAGUAAUUUAAUGAGCGUUAUCAGCAAUAAUCAAGUGUUCAUUUGAUGAACUUCAUUUCCUAAAACAUCCAGAAUUGGAGCUCAUAUCUUUGGCAGCUGUAAAGUUUCUGCUCCUUCAAAGUUCACAACACAAUGAAUGAAUUCCUAAAACACUCUCAAUGCUGGAGAGCGUUUGUGAUGCUGAAGCAGUGACCAGUUUUUCUGUUUCUUCUCUGGAGAUGCACAAUGAGGGACGUCUGCAGCGACUGAGAAAGAGUCUCACCACAUCCUGACAUGAGGAAAAAGACUUUAUUGAAGACUACAAUGAGAAAAACUAUCAGACAGCAGACGGCUGCAUUCAAGAGAGGAAGACCAUCAAACAUCCACGUCAGCUGAUGGAGGUCCAAGAGUCUCACCAAACAACCAACCUACAGAGUGAAGACCUCAAAUCUAAUUGGACGGCCUCCUAUUCAGCCACGUGUGAACAAAUGCCUCUAAGCUGAUUUGUUUUCUAAAAUAAAUCUAGUUUGAGUCCUAAUCUAUGCCUGUGUGUUUGCUUCUUUACACCGCUGUUAACAGUUUAGGCUGUUAGAUUGUUCCAGAUAAGACAAGUACAAGAUUCUUCAGAGCCGUUCUACCACGAGCCUGACAGGAAGAACUCCAACAGCUACUGAAUGUUCCUGUGGUUCCCUCAAGGCUACAGGAGGAGCCCUACGAGGACGAGCCGGUCCACCUGAUGGCUGGCCAGUCGCUGCGGUUCAAAAGCCAACACCGACUACGUGGACUUCUACUGGACCACAUGGAGGCCUUCAAACCGGACCAACAAGUUCAGCGACUCCCCGACUCGUGGGUCUGAGGAUGCUGCCGAGCCUCGGCCCAGCCGGCCUCCUGUCUGUGGGUGUUUGAGUGCUGAGAGGUUUGUGGAUGCAUGUGAACGUGUCUGUGUUGAAACAGCAGCUUUGGACUCAGUAACGCUGGGAAAAACCAAGAGCUCCUUUAUUUGUGACUUCCACUAAAAAACCGAUGAAAAUAUGUUUGCCAGGGUUCUGACUGAUAACAGAUUAUUAAAUAAUGAAAAUAAUCGUUUAAAUAUUCCUUUAAACAAUCCUUUUAGGUCUACAUUCCUUUACACUGACUUCUUGGUAUAUGUACAAGUAUUUUGGGUGGAAUAUACCAUUAAGCCUGAUGUUCAAGGGUUCUUCUGGGAAUAUACCAUUAAACCAACCUUUUAGGUAAAUGUUCCAGGAUGUUGGGUAGAAUAUACCAUCAGAUAAACCUUUUAGGUCUACACUGGAAGAUUUUAGAGUAGAAUAUUACUCCAUACCAUCCUUUAGGUCUACAUUUAAGGUGGAAUACUCCUUUACACCAAGAUUUUUUGGUCUACAUUGAAAGAUUUUAGGUGAAAUAUUCCUUUGAACGAACUUUUUAAGUUUAUGUUCAAGGAUGUUGGGUGGAAUAUACCAUCAGACCAACCUCCAAGGUCUACAGUAGUGAAUUUUAGGUGGAAUAUACCAUUAAACUCACCUUUUAGGUCUACAUUGGAGGAUUUUAGGUGGAAUUUUCUUCCAAACCGUCUUUUAGUCUACAUUUAAGGAUGUUUAGGAUGGUAUAUUCUUCCGAACCAACUUCUCAGGUCUACAUUUCAGGUGGAAUAUUCCUCCAUAUUAACUUUUUUGGUCUACAUUGAAGGAUUUUUUCUAAACCACCCUUUCAGGUCUAUAUUUGAGGUUUUAGGCAGAUUAUUCCUUUUAAUCAGCCCCUCAGGUCUCUUUGAGGAUUUUGGAUGGAAUACUCGGUUAAACCAACAUUUUAGGUGCAUGUCCAAGGAUUUUUGGUGGAAUGUUCCUUUAAGGUGGAUGUUUGAGGACCUUGUAGGUGGAAUACUUCCUGAAACCAACCUUUUAGGUUAACAUUCAAAGAUUUAAGGUGGAAUAUUCCUUUAAACCAACCUAAAUUUCAUGUUUUGAUCAUUAUCAAGUGAGAAUCCUCAAUCCAGACUCCUCAUAAUGACGUUUGAGAUUUAUGCUGCUGUUAUUUGUUUAGUCCAGACUAAAUGACAGAAAUCCACAACUGUAAUUUUAUUUCAGGACUCGGUUAUUAAAUGUCAAAACAAUCUAUGUGACUCUAAAAACUCAACAGCUUUACAAACUCUAAGAUUAAACUCUCCACAAGGACCCAAAAUAAGUUUGACUUCUACAUGAGAGCUUUAAUUAUUCUUCAUCUACUUCCUGAAAAGUUUGGUCGAUAAAAAAGACAAAAACUAAUAUUUUCAGCUGAACUAAAGACAGACUUUGUGAUUUUUCUGCUCACAUGUUGUGUUGUUGUAAACUUCCUCUUUCAAAUAAAUAUCCUCCUAACCCCCUGGAAA